RNAcentral lists this ribosomal RNA (478 nucleotides) under uncultured bacterium. Its description in RNAcentral is "bacterial SSU rRNA". It matches the Rfam family "Bacterial small subunit ribosomal RNA", at positions 791 to 1267 of the family's 1533-position model. The record is from RNAcentral.
UAGUCCACGCCGUAAACGAUGAUAACUCGAUGUUGGCAAUACACCGUCAGCGUCCAAGCGAAAGCGUUAAGUUAUCCACCUGGGGAGUACGAUCGCAAGAUUGAAACUCAAAGGAAUUGACGGGGGCCCGCACAAGCGGAGGAGCAUGUGGUUUAAUUCGAUGAUACGCGAGGAACCUUACCUGGGCUCAAACGUAGAGUGAUCGACUGUGAAAGCAGUUUUCCCUUCGGGGCAGUCUACGAGGUGCUGCAUGGUUGUCGUCAGCUCGUGCCGUGAGGUGUCGGGUUAAGUCCCAUAACGAGCGCAACCCCUAUUCUUAGUUGCCAUCAGAUAAUGCUGGGGACUCUAAGAAAACUGCCUACGCAAGUAGUGAGGGAAGGUGGGGAUGACGUCAAAUCAGCACGGGCCCUUACGUCCAGGGGCUACACACGUGCUACAAUGGUCGAUACAGAGGGGCAGGCUACAUAGUGAUAUGAUG